RNAcentral lists this ribosomal RNA (323 nucleotides) under uncultured eukaryote. Its description in RNAcentral is "partial 18S ribosomal RNA". It matches the Rfam family "Eukaryotic small subunit ribosomal RNA", at positions 1470 to 1796 of the family's 1831-position model. The record is from RNAcentral.
CCCUUAGAUGUCCUGGGCCGCACGCGCGCUACACUGAACGGAUCAGUGCGUUUUCCCUUCCCGAGAGGGACGGGUAACCUGCUGAACCCCGUUCGUGGUAGGGAUCGGGGCUUGCAAUUAUUCCCCGUGAACCAGGAAUGCCCAGUAAGUGCAAGUCAUAAGCUUGCGUUGAUUACGUCCCUGCCCUUUGUACACACCGCCCGUCGCUACUACCGAUUGAGCAAUCCGGUGAAUACUUCGGACCGCUACGCAGGCUGGUUCCCAGUCUGUGUUCUGGAAAGUCGAGUAAACCUUAUUGCUUAGAGGAAGGAGAAGUCGUAACA